This 130-nucleotide non-coding RNA is filed under the name Agromyces sp. RNAcentral describes it as "Glycine sequence". It matches the Rfam family "Glycine riboswitch aptamer". Rfam says of the family: This family represents the bacterial glycine riboswitch. Glycine riboswitches usually consist of two metabolite-binding aptamers domains with similar structures in tandem. Lineage: Bacteria; Bacillati; Actinomycetota; Actinomycetes; Micrococcales; Microbacteriaceae. The record is from RNAcentral.
CGACGCAUCGCGGGAGAGCCGGCAGCAACGUGCAGACAGGUCGUCAGACCGGGUCCGCGCAAUGCACAGGCCGGCACCGAAGGAGCAAGCCUCCCCGCCAAUCUCUCAGGUACAACACCGCGAUGAACAC